GUGCCUAACACAUGCAAGUCGAGCGGAGUUGAUCGACGGAAGCCUUCGGGCGGAAGAUGAUUAACUUAGCGGCGGAUGGGUGAGUAACGCGUGGGCAACCUGCCUCGAAGACCGGGAUAACAGUUCGAAAGGGCUGCUAAUACCGGAUGUGGUCAAGUGUCAGCAUGGGCAUUUGAUUAAAGGGGAAACCCGUUUCGAGAUGGGCCCGCGUCCUAUCAGCUAGUUGGUGAGGUAAAGGCUCACCAAGGCAAUGACGGGUAGCCGGCCUGAGAGGGUGACCGGCCACACUGGAACUGAGACACGGUCCAGACUCCUACGGGGGGCAGCAGUGGGGAAUCUUCCACAAUGGGCGAAAGCCUGAUGGAGCGACGCCGCGUGAGCGAAGAAGGCCUUCGGGUUGUAAAGCUCUGUCUGGAGGGACGAAGAAAGUGACGGUACCUCCGGAGGAAGCCACGGCUAACUACGUGCCAGCAGCCGCGGUAAUACGUAGGUGGCGAGCGUUGUCCGGAAUCACUGGGCGUAAAGGGCGCGCAGGCGGCGUGUCAAGUCGGACGUGAAAACCCCUGGCUCAACUGGGG
Molecule: ribosomal RNA, 578 nt
Filed under: uncultured bacterium
Lineage: Bacteria
Description: bacterial SSU rRNA
Rfam family: Bacterial small subunit ribosomal RNA
Source: RNAcentral